UACGGAGGGUGCGAGCGUUGUCCGGAAUCACUGGGCGUAAAGGGCGCGUAGGCGGCGCGGGCAGUCAACGGUGAAAGCUUGGGGCUCAACCCCGAGUCGGCCGUCGAUACUCCCGGGCUGGAGCACUGUAGAGGCAGGUGGAAUUCCGGGUGUAGCGGUGGAAUGCGUAGAGAUCCGGAAGAACACCGGUGGCGAAGGCGGCCCGCUGG
Molecule: ribosomal RNA, 209 nt
Filed under: uncultured bacterium
Lineage: Bacteria
Description: partial 16S ribosomal RNA
Rfam family: Bacterial small subunit ribosomal RNA
Source: RNAcentral